GUGGGGUGCUCGAGUGGCGAACGGGUGAGUAACACGUGAGUAACCUGCCCUUGACUUUGGGAUAACUUCAGGAAACUGGGGCUAAUACCGGAUAGGAGCUCCUGCUGCAUGGUGGGGGUUGGAAAGUUUCGGCGGUUGGGGAUGGACUCGCGGCUUAUCAGCUUGUUGGUGGGGUAGUGGCUUACCAAGGCUUUGACGGGUAGCCGGCCUGAGAGGGUGACCGGCCACAUUGGGACUGAGAUACGGCCCAG
This 251-nucleotide ribosomal RNA is filed under the name uncultured Actinomycetales bacterium. RNAcentral describes it as "partial 16S ribosomal RNA". It matches the Rfam family "Bacterial small subunit ribosomal RNA", at positions 82 to 334 of the family's 1533-position model. The record is from RNAcentral. Lineage: Bacteria; Bacillati; Actinomycetota; Actinomycetes; Actinomycetales.